This 3000-nucleotide long non-coding RNA is filed under the name Manihot esculenta (cassava). Its description in RNAcentral is "long non-coding RNA (MESC_LNC008216)". Lineage: Eukaryota; Viridiplantae; Streptophyta; Magnoliopsida; Malpighiales; Euphorbiaceae. The record is from RNAcentral.
AACAUGCCUGUUAUGCUUUCCACAAUUGAAGUGUGUGAUGUGUGUCAAUUUGGAAAGCAAACCAGAAUUCCUUUUCCUAUUAAUCAAUCAUGGAGGGCAGUAGAGAAGUUGCAGCUUGUUCAUAGUGAUGUUUGUGGUCCCAUGAGUUCUCCUUCACUCAAUGGGAGCAAGUACUUUGUGCUUUUCAUUGAUGAUUUUUCCAGGUUCUGUUGGGUGUAUUUCUUGCAACAAAAAUCAGAAGUGCUACAGAUGUUUCAAAAGUUCAAAGCUGCAGCUGAGAAUCAAUGCAACUCAAAAAUCAAAAUACUCAGAGCUGAUAAUGGAACUGAGUAUGCUAACAAGAAUUUCAGUAAGGUUUGUGAAGAGGCAGGAAUUCAACAUCAAUUUACAACUAGUUACACUCCACAGCAGAAUGGAGUAAGUGUGAGAAAAAACAGGACUGUUAUGGAGAUGGCUAGAUGCUUAAUGUUUGAAAAAAAAUUACCAAAAAAAUUAUGGGUUGAGGCAGUAAAUACAUCAGUCUAACGAUUGAAUAGACUACCAACGAAGGCUUUAAAAGAACAAACUCCUUUUGAAGCCUGGUUUGAAGUUAAACCUUGCAUUGAACAUUUAAAAGUCUUUGGGAGCAUAUGCUAUGCUCAUAUUCCAGCUGUGAAAAGAGAUAAGUUGGAUCGCAAGUCUCAGGUUGGGAUUUUUCUGGGCUAUAGCAGCAAUGUAAAAGGAUAUAGGGUGUUCAACAUGGAGACAAAGAAUGUAAUAGUUUGCAGAGAUUUGAAAGUGGAUGAAGAAGCUUACUGGGAUUGGGAAAAGGCACAAGUGGAACUUAUAAACAAUAAUCAAAUUCAGAGAGUUGAUUCUCUUAAUCAAGAACCAGCUCAUGAACAAGAAGAUGCAGAUUAUGGAAGUGACACAGAUUCAGAUUUUGCAGUCAGAGGUACCAGGUCUCUAGAAGAAAUUUAUGAGAGGUCUAAUAUAGCCUUGCUGGAGCCAACAAGUCUAGAAGAGGCAAUGCAAUCUCCAAAUUGGAUGAAUGCAAUGCAAGGAGAGCUGAAAAUGAUCAAUAAAAAUGAAACGUGGAACUUGGUUGAUAGACCAAGAAACAAGAAGGUAAUUGGUGUAAAGUGGGUUUAUAGAAUCAAACUCAACUCAGAUGGUUCUGUAAAUAAGCACAAAGCAAGAUUAGUUGUGAAAGGCUAUUCACAACAGUUUGGAGUGGAUUACACAGAUACCUUUGCUCCAGUAGCAAGGUAUGAUACAAUAAGGCUUCUCAUUGCCUUGGCUAGGGGUGAGCAUUCGGUCGGUUCGGUUCAAAACCGAACCGAACCGAAUAAACCGAAAACCGAAAUUUGAGUGUUUAUGAAAACCGAACCGAACCGAUUUUGAUCAGAAACUGAAUCGAACCGAACCGGUCUGAUUCGGUUCGGUUCAGUUUGAUCGGUUUUGAUUUUUAAUAAUUUUUUUUAUUUUUUACACUUUAUUUUUAAUAUUUUAAAAUUUAAUUAAAAUAUUUUAAUUUUAAUAUGAUUUAAUUUCUAUAUAUUAUUGAAAAAACAUAUUAUUAUUACUAAUCGGUUCGGUUCGGUUUUUUCGGUUUUUUUCUGAUCAAAACCGAACCGAACCGAAAUAACCGAAAUUUUUGAAAUUGAAAACCGAACCGAAUCGAAAUAUAUAAAAAACCGAACCAAAUUUUUAAAUCGGUUCGGUUCGGUCGGUUUUUUCGAUUUGAACCGAAUAGUGCUCACCCCUAGCCUUGGCUGCUCAAAAAUGUUGGAAGAUUUAUUAGCUUGAUGUGAAAUCUACAUUUCUAAAUGGUCAUCUACAAGAGGAGAUUUUUGUAGAGCAACCACCUGGUUUCAUUAAGAAGGGACAAGAAGAUAAAGUUUUCUUCCUCAAGAAAGCUUUAUAUGGGUUGAAACAGGCCCCUAGAGCCUGGUACAGCAUAAUGGAUUAUCAUUUGUUGAAAUUGGAUUUUACAAGAAGUCCUAGUGAAGCUACUUUGUAUGUUAAAGCUGAGAAUGAAGAUUUGCUAAUUGUUUCCUUGUAUGUGGAUGACCUUUUGAUCACAGGAAGUAGCAAUGAGUUGGUACAACAAUUCAAGAAUGAAAUGCAGUCUGUAUUUGAGAUGACUGAUCUUGGAGAAAUGACUUUCUUCCUUGGAUUGGAGGUUCAUCAAACAAGUCAUGGAACCUUCAUUUGUCAAGAAAAAUAUGCAAAUGAAGUACUUAAGAAGUUUGGGAUGGAAAAUUGCAGUAGUAUCAACACUCCUUUGGCCCAAAAUGAGAAAUUGAGCAAGGAAGAUGAUUCAGAAAAAAUAGAUUCAGGAAUUUAUAGAAGUGUAAUUGGAUGUCUAUUGUAUUUAGCAACUUCCAGACCUGAUAUUAUGUUUGUAACCAGCCUAUUAUUUAGGUUCAUACAUAAUCCUAGCCAAAGGCACUUCAAGGCAGGUAUGUGAAGGGAACCAGUAAUUUGGGCAUUUGGUUCAAGGCUGGUCAAGAAGUGAAGCUUAUUGGGUAUACAGACAGUGAUUGGGGAGGCACAGUUGAUGACAUGAAGAGCACCUCAGGAUUCAUGUUCUCUAUUGGUUCAGGAGCUGUUAGCUGGAGUUCAAGAAAGUAGGAAGUGGUAGCUCAGUCUACAGCAGAAGCAUAAUACAUUUCUGCUGCUGCUGCUGUGAAUCAGGCCAUUUGGCUUAGAAAGUUUAUGAAAGAUUUGAAGCAGGAACAAAGGGAAGCUACUGUGAUCUUCUAUGAUAAUCAGUCAGCUAUAGCAAUGGCAAAAAACCCAGUUUUUCAUGGUAGAACCAAACAUAUCAAGAUCAAAUUUCAUUUUAUUAGAGAAGCAGAGAAAGAAGAAGAAGUGAAGCUCAUUCAUUGUGAUUCUGAAGUUCAAGUUGCUGAUCUCUUAACCAAAGGAUUGCCUAAAAUCAGAUUUGAAACAUUGAGGAGGAGCCUUGGUGUUUCCAGCAAAAAUGUCAAGGAGGAGUGAAGAUGGCAAUGACAU